Non-coding RNA from Yersinia pseudotuberculosis, 43 nucleotides. The record is from Rfam. Lineage: Bacteria; Pseudomonadati; Pseudomonadota; Gammaproteobacteria; Enterobacterales; Yersiniaceae.
GAAUUUUUGAUUAACGCCUGCCGUAAGGUGGGUCAUUUGGAAG